AAGGGAGAAAUCGGAGGAUUUUUAAUUUUUUCGGUUUCUAAUUUUAAUACUCUUUCAAAUGAAUAAAUAGAACAAACAAUUUUGCUUUAAAACUGUGAAGAAUUGCUUUUUUUUUUUUUUUUU
RNAcentral lists this non-coding RNA (123 nucleotides) under Polytomella parva. Lineage: Eukaryota; Viridiplantae; Chlorophyta; Chlorophyceae; Chlamydomonadales; Chlamydomonadaceae. The record is from RNAcentral.